RNAcentral lists this ribosomal RNA (253 nucleotides) under uncultured bacterium. RNAcentral describes it as "partial 16S ribosomal RNA". It matches the Rfam family "Bacterial small subunit ribosomal RNA", at positions 524 to 776 of the family's 1533-position model. The record is from RNAcentral.
CACGUAGGAGGCGAGCGUUGUCCGGAAUCAUUGGGCGUAAAGAGCGCGCAGGCGGCUUGGCAAGUCGGGUGUGAAAUCCCGGGGCUCAACCCCGGGACUGCAUUCGAUACUGUCAGGCUAGAGGUAGGUAGGGGAGAUCGGAAUUCCUGGUGUAGCGGUGAAAUGCGCAGAUAUCAGGAGGAACACCAGUGGCGAAGGCGGUGCUCUGGGCCGGAACUGACGCUGAGGAGCGAAAGCGUGGGGAGCAAACAGG